Molecule: unclassified non-coding RNA, 214 nt
Filed under: Hevea brasiliensis (rubber tree)
Lineage: Eukaryota; Viridiplantae; Streptophyta; Magnoliopsida; Malpighiales; Euphorbiaceae
Source: RNAcentral
CGCCUUUCUUUGCAACGAAAGUUACGGUGUAUCUAAGUUUAUCUCCUAUAUUUCUGAAUACAAGUUUGGUUGGCUUCACUUUCACCACCACCGCAGAUGGCGCAGUCACGGCCACUUCAUAUACGGAUCCUGCCUUCCCCACAUUGGUCAACUCUCGGGUAUACCUUCUUACAACCCUUUUGCCUGCAAACACCACCGAGAAUGAUGGGUAAUU